GAAUGUCAAGGGCUGGCCCAUGUUUUUCUGUGCGCUUAUUUAAAAGUUGAGGGAAGUGGUUAGAAAUGCACAGGGCCCUGGUUUCUAUAUAUAGCACAACAAAGUAAUAAAUAUGUAAUGGGUAAAUAAACUAUCAAAGGCAGGAACAAGUCUUAAUGCCUCCUGGAGGGCCAUGUAUGGCAAAGUGCAAAACUGCACAGCAGUCCUUGGUAACUUACAGCCAAGUCUGUCUGGUUGCUGACAGCUGCUUAUCUUACAGCUGCUUCUGCAGCCUUGAGGCAUCUCAGUGUUGCUGUAAAACUCUGUACCUUUGGAGUAGAUAUGAGACCUGGAAUGCCGCUGUGGCCCCACUGUAGGUUGUGCUGGCUGACAGAGGCUGCGUGUAAUCCUGACGCACACACGAGGGCAGGAAGCUUUCUGCCUCUUUUUAUGCUUCUUUACUCCGUGUCUCACAGAUACAUCUGCACUCAUGAGUCAGACAAGAACUACUGUGUUUUUUUUUUUUUUUUUUUUAAAGAUUUAUUUAUUUAUUAUAUGUAAGUACACUGUAGCUGUCUUCAGACACACCAGAAGAGGGAGUCAGAUCUCGUUACGGAUGGUUGUGAGCCACCAUGUGGUUGCUGGGAUUUGAACUCUGGACCUUCGGAAGAGCAGUCAGGUGCUCUUACCCACUGAGCCAUCUCACCAGCCCACUGUGUUUUAUUUUAUUUUACUCAGGUUUUAGUGUAAGAGGCUAGGGAAAGCUUUGUGUACUUGUGGCAUUUGCUCCAUUUGGCAUGUGGAGCUUGAGCUGGGCGUUCUUAGGUUGCUGUUCCGUGACACAGUAAUAAGGCUCAGGAAAACAGCUCUUUUCCUUCUAGGAGAAAAAUUGAGGAUUUUCUUGUGCUUUAAAAAUAUUACAAUUUAAAGAAAAGACCUGUUAUGAAAUUGUGAUUUUUAUUCUUCUAAAAUGUUCUUAAAUCUAGAUAGAAAUUUGGACAUUGGUACAGUGUAGACUCAGAAUCAUUGAAAGUAUUAAUACUUUGAGCUUUUAUCUGGGCAAUGGUGGCUCACGCUGUGAGUCUCAGCACUGGGGAGGCAGAGGCAGUGGCAGAUAGAGCUCUGGAGUUUGAGACCAGCCUGGUUGAUAGAGUGAGUUCCAGGACAGCCAGGGCUGUUACACAGACAAGAAGCUCUGUUGUCUCAAAAAACAAUGC
This 1196-nucleotide long non-coding RNA is filed under the name Mus musculus (house mouse). RNAcentral's name for it is "long non-coding RNA chr5:73311364-73312560". Lineage: Eukaryota; Metazoa; Chordata; Mammalia; Rodentia; Muridae. The record is from RNAcentral.